RNAcentral lists this ribosomal RNA (245 nucleotides) under uncultured Actinomycetales bacterium. Its description in RNAcentral is "partial 16S ribosomal RNA". It matches the Rfam family "Bacterial small subunit ribosomal RNA", at positions 796 to 1041 of the family's 1533-position model. Lineage: Bacteria; Bacillati; Actinomycetota; Actinomycetes; Actinomycetales. The record is from RNAcentral.
CACGCCGUAAACGUUGGGCGCUAGGUGUGGGGAACUUUCCACGUUCUCCGUGCCGCAGCUAACGCAUUAAGCGCCCCGCCUGGGGAGUACGGCCGCAAGGCUAAAACUCAAAGGAAUUGACGGGGGCCCGCACAAGCGGCGGAGCAUGCGGCUUAAUUCGAUGCAACGCGAAGAACCUUACCUGGGCUUGACAUAUGGGGAAAUCCGGUAGAGAUACCGGGUCCGCAAGGGCCUCAUACAGGUGG